This 395-nucleotide transfer-messenger RNA is filed under the name Bacilli. Its description in RNAcentral is "UBA4951 sp900542595 Standard tmRNA". It matches the Rfam family "transfer-messenger RNA". Rfam says of the family: Bacterial tmRNA, also known as 10Sa RNA or SsrA, is named for its dual tRNA and mRNA-like properties. Its role is to liberate the mRNA from a stalled ribosome. To accomplish this part of the tmRNA is used as a reading frame that ends in a translation stop signal. The record is from RNAcentral. RNAcentral also lists the same sequence under 1 other name. Lineage: Bacteria; Bacillati; Bacillota.
GGGGUCGCGCUGGAUUUGACGGGGAAUUGUCAAACUUAGAUGGCAGCAAGGUGAUGGCUUACAUCAAACAAAAAUAACUGACAACAGUUACAUUUAUGCGAAACCCGCUACCCGGGUUUCCUAUGCUUGCGCUUAAUCAGUAGCCUACGGGUUUCUCACCAGAGACGUGAGAGCAGCACGCUUACCCUUUGUUUCGUAUCUUACAAAGGAGUAGGUGUCAGACUAAGAUACUAAGCCUGGUUCUCGGCUUAAAAAUCAGGACGAAAACCUCAUUAGCCUCGCUUCCGUUUCUUGCCGAAAUCUCAUACGGAAGUUAAAUCUUGAUUUCGGAUAAACUGUAGGCAUCUUUGGGCGGCAUUCUGCGGACAGGGGUUCGACUCCCCUCGGCUCCACCA